This 649-nucleotide ribosomal RNA is filed under the name Epiclytus yokoyamai. RNAcentral's name for it is "eukaryotic LSU rRNA". It matches the Rfam family "Eukaryotic large subunit ribosomal RNA", at positions 88 to 500 of the family's 3401-position model. The record is from RNAcentral. Lineage: Eukaryota; Metazoa; Arthropoda; Insecta; Coleoptera; Cerambycidae.
UGCGAGCGAACAGGGAAGAGCCCAGCACCGAAUCCCGCGGCCGAUAUCGGACGCCGGGAAAUGUGGUGUUAGGGAGGAUCCGUUUAUCCCGAGGUCGUGCGGUGCGUCCAAGUCCUUCUUGAACGGGGCUACAGCCCAUAGAGGGUGCCAGGCCCGUAGCGACCGCUGCCGAUCGCGGGAGGAUCUCUCCUCAGAGUCGGGUUGCUUGAGAGUGCAGCCCUAAGUGGGUGGUAAACUCCAUCUAAGGCUAAAUAUGACCACGAGACCGAUAGCGAACAAGUACCGUGAGGGAAAGUUGAAAAGCACUUUGAAGAGAGAGUUCAAGAGUACGUGAAACCGUUCAGGGGUAAACCUGAGAAGCCCGAAAGGUCGAAUGGGGAAAUUCAUUCGCGUUUCGACCGUCGGCGUUGGAUGGUCGAGUGACGGACGGCGUACGCGUUGUCCGCGCCUUCCGUUCUUCGAACCGGCGUCGAACGCGUGCACUUUUCCCCUAGUAGGACGUCGCGAUCCGUUGGGUGUCGGUCUACGGCUCGCGGUGGAGACCGUGCGGUCGCUUUACGGCGUAUCGCACGGACCCGCGGUGUCCCGGCCGACUCGCUCGACGGUAUACAGAUGGCGAGGGGCCGCUACUAUUCAGUUAGCGUUCGGC